CCGCCACUCAACUAAUGACACCUCAACAUUUAGAAGCUGCUAAAAAGCUAUCUGUCCAAGAGUUAAAUGUUCUUGAUCCAGAGACACAUAAGGACACUCCCAUUUUAUGCAGAGCAGCUAUUACGCGUUUUGACACACGUAACGGUUAGUGGUAUAAAGCAUGUCCAUCUUGCUUUAAACAACUUAGAACUGCUGCCCACCGUGAUGAACUUUUGUGCCCAAAACACAAUAAUCAAAUUCCUCUCCCUUGGUUCAAAGUGAGCUUGGUGCUUGAAGAUUCAACUGAUGAAACCAAUGCAAUCAUAAUUGGAAGACCAACAGAACAG
Molecule: long non-coding RNA, 326 nt
Organism: Prunus persica (peach)
Lineage: Eukaryota; Viridiplantae; Streptophyta; Magnoliopsida; Rosales; Rosaceae
Exons: 3
Source: RefSeq, a predicted model, not a curated record